RNAcentral lists this ribosomal RNA (503 nucleotides) under uncultured bacterium. RNAcentral's name for it is "bacterial SSU rRNA". It matches the Rfam family "Bacterial small subunit ribosomal RNA", at positions 24 to 518 of the family's 1533-position model. The record is from RNAcentral.
UCAGGAUGAACGCUAGCUACAGGCUUAACACAUGCAAGUCGAGGGGCAGCAUGGCUUAGCUUGCUAAGGCUGAUGGCGACCGGCGCACGGGUGAGUAACGCGUAUCCAACCUUCCCCAUAGUAGGGGAUAGCCGGCGAAAGUCGGAUUAAUACCCUAUGUAUUCGAUGCAGACAUCUAAGUUGAAUCAAAGGUUUACCGCUAUGGGAUGGGGAUGCGUCUGAUUAGGUUGCAGGCGGGGUAACGGCCCACCUGGCCUACGAUCAGUAGGGGUUCUGAGAGGAAGGUCCCCCACAUUGGAACUGAGACACGGUCCAAACUCCUACGGGAGGCAGCAGUGAGGAAUAUUGGUCAAUGGGCGAGAGCCUGAACCAGCCAAGUAGCGUGCCAGGAUGACGGCCCUAUGGGUUGUAAACUGCUUUUAUGCGGGGAUAAAGUGAGGGACGUGUCCCUUUUUGUAGGUACCGCAUGAAUAAGGACCGGCUAAUUCCGUGCCAGCAGCAGC